Molecule: ribosomal RNA, 1523 nt
Filed under: Escherichia coli
Lineage: Bacteria; Pseudomonadati; Pseudomonadota; Gammaproteobacteria; Enterobacterales; Enterobacteriaceae
Description: partial 23S ribosomal RNA
Rfam family: Bacterial large subunit ribosomal RNA
Source: RNAcentral
GAAUGCUGACAUAAGUAACGAUAAAGCGGGUGAAAAGCCCGCUCGCCGGAAGACCAAGGGUUCCUGUCCAACGUUAAUCGGGGCAGGGUGAGUCGACCCCUAAGGCGAGGCCGAAAGGCGUAGUCGAUGGGAAACAGGUUAAUAUUCCUGUACUUGGUGUUACUGCGAAGGGGGGACGGAGAAGGCUAUGUUGGCCGGGCGACGGUUGUCCCGGUUUAAGCGUGUAGGCUGGUUUUCCAGGCAAAUCCGGAAAAUCAAGGCUGAGGCGUGAUGACGAGGCACUACGGUGCUGAAGCAACAAAUGCCCUGCUUCCAGGAAAAGCCUCUAAGCAUCAGGUAACAUCAAAUCGUACCCCAAACCGACACAGGUGGUCAGGUAGAGAAUACCAAGGCGCUUGAGAGAACUCGGGUGAAGGAACUAGGCAAAAUGGUGCCGUAACUUCGGGAGAAGGCACGCUGAUAUGUAGGUGAAGCGACUUGCUCGUGGAGCUGAAAUCAGUCGAAGAUACCAGCUGGCUGCAACUGUUUAUUAAAAACACAGCACUGUGCAAACACGAAAGUGGACGUAUACGGUGUGACGCCUGCCCGGUGCCGGAAGGUUAAUUGAUGGGGUUAGCGGUAACGCGAAGCUCUUGAUCGAAGCCCCGGUAAACGGCGGCCGUAACUAUAACGGUCCUAAGGUAGCGAAAUUCCUUGUCGGGUAAGUUCCGACCUGCACGAAUGGCGUAAUGAUGGCCAGGCUGUCUCCACCCGAGACUCAGUGAAAUUGAACUCGCUGUGAAGAUGCAGUGUACCCGCGGCAAGACGGAAAGACCCCGUGAACCUUUACUAUAGCUUGACACUGAACAUUGAGCCUUGAUGUGUAGGAUAGGUGGGAGGCUUUGAAGUGUGGACGCCAGUCUGCAUGGAGCCGACCUUGAAAUACCACCCUUUAAUGUUUGAUGUUCUAACGUUGGCCCCUGAUCGGGGUUGCGGACAGUGUCUGGUGGGUAGUUUGACUGGGGCGGUCUCCUCCUAAAGAGUAACGGAGGAGCACGAAGGUUGGCUAAUCCUGGUCGGACAUCAGGAGGUUAGUGCAAUGGCAUAAGCCAGCUUGACUGCGAGCGUGACGGCGCGAGCAGGUGCGAAAGCAGGUCAUAGUGAUCCGGUGGUUCUGAAUGGAAGGGCCAUCGCUCAACGGAUAAAAGGUACUCCGGGGAUAACAGGCUGAUACCGCCCAAGAGUUCAUAUCGACGGCGGUGUUUGGCACCUCGAUGUCGGCUCAUCACAUCCUGGGGCUGAAGUAGGUCCCAAGGGUAUGGCUGUUCGCCAUUUAAAGUGGUACGCGAGCUGGGUUUAGAACGUCGUGAGACAGUUCGGUCCCUAUCUGCCGUGGGCGCUGGAGAACUGAGGGGGGCUGCUCCUAGUACGAGAGGACCGGAGUGGACGCAUCACUGGUGUUCGGGUUGUCAUGCCAAUGGCACUGCCCGGUAGCUAAAUGCGGAAGAGAUAAGUGCUGAAAGCAUCUAAGCACGAAACUUGCC